UGUUCAGUGGCGAACGGGUGAGUAACACGUGGGUUACCUGCCUCUAAGUUGGGGACAACAGUUGGAAACGACUGCUAAUACCGAAUGUGAUAGUAAUAUUAAAGGAGCCUUUAAAGCUUCGCUUAGAGAUGGGCCUGCGGCGUAUUAGCUAGUUGGUGGGGUAACGGCCUACCAAGGCGACGAUGCGUAGCCGGACUGAGAGGUUGAUCGGCCACACUGGGACUGAGACACGGCCCAGACUCCUACGGGAGACAGCAGUUAGGAAUAUUCGGCAAUGGGGGAAACCCUGACCGAGCAAUGCCGCGUGUGAGAUGAAGGUCCUCUGGAUUGUAAAUCACUUUUAUUUGGGAAGAAUUGUAAGUAGAGGAAAUGAUACUUACUUGACGGUACCUUUUGAAUAAGCCCCGGCUAACUACGUGCCAGCAGCCGCGGUAAUACGUAGGGGGCGAGCGUUAUCCGGACUUAUUGGGCGUAAAGCGUGCGUAGACGGUUUAUUAAGUCCAGAAUUAAAGCCCGAGGCUUAACCUCGGUUCGUUCUGGAUACUGGUAGACUAGAGUAUGGUAGAGGCAAAUGGAAUUCCUAGUGUAGCGGUGGGAUGCGUAGAUAUUAGGAGGAACACCAGUGGCGAAGGCGGUUUGCUGGGCCAUUACUGACGUUGAGGUACGAAAGCGUGGGUAGCAAAUAGGAUUAGAUACCCUAGUAGUCCACGCUGCAAACGAUGAGCACUAACUGUCAGGUCACCGGUGCUGAAGUUAACACAUCAAGUGCUCCGCCUGAGUAGUCCGGUCGCAAGGCUGAAACUCAAAGGAAUUGACGGGCCCCCGCACCAGCGGUGGAGCAUGUUGUCUUAUUUGAAAAUACGCGAUGAACCUUACCUAGACUUGACAUCCCUGGCAAAACUAUAGAAAUAUAUUGGAGGCUAUCCAGGUCACAGGUAGUGCAUGGUUGUCGUCAGCUCGUGUCGUGAGAUGUUGGGUUAAGUCCCGCAUCGAGCGCAACCCCUCCCAUUAGUUGAUACGCAAGAGCACUCUAAUGGGUCCGCUACCGACAAGGUGGAGGAAGGCGGGGACGACGUCAAAUCAUCAUGCCCCUUAUGACGUGGGCUACACACGUAAUACAAUGGCCGUCAACAACGGGAAGCGAAUCCGCCGAGGUGGAGCGAAACCUAAAAAACGGUCUCAGUUCGGAUCGCAGGCUGCAACCCGCCUGCGUGAAGUUGGAAUUGCUAGUAAUCGAGGAUCAGCAUGCCGCGGUGAAUAC
Molecule: ribosomal RNA, 1261 nt
Filed under: uncultured bacterium
Lineage: Bacteria
Description: partial 16S ribosomal RNA
Rfam family: Bacterial small subunit ribosomal RNA
Source: RNAcentral